AAUGUAGAGAGAGCAGGUCAGUUAUAGAGGGGAAGGUAGUUAGCUAGCUAGCUACAUCUGUAAACGCUAGCUGGUUAGCCAGGUUAGAUAUGUAGGUAAUGUAGAGAGAGCAGGUCAGUUAUAGAGGGGAAGGUAGUUAGCUAGCUAGCUACAUCUGUAAACGCUAGCUGGUUAGCCAGGUUAGAUAUGUAGGUAAUGUAGAGAGAGCAGGUCAGUUAUAGAGGGGAAGGUAGUUAGCAGGAAUAACUCCUGGUUUGUCUAGAAAUGACUAAAUGUUUAGGUCUGGUUAGGCCACCGUGUCAGAUAGUCGACUAAACAGUUGUUGUUUGUCCCGUCGGAUUAGCAUUCAGAUCAUGGCUAACCUAACUAAACUAACUAACUAACUAACUAACUAACUAUUCCCGUUAGUUAACCUAGUAAAAACACCUUGGACAUGACAAGACACUAACUAGCUUGUUAA
This 460-nucleotide long non-coding RNA is filed under the name Salmo salar (Atlantic salmon). RNAcentral's name for it is "lncRNA (ENSSSAG00000093560.1)". Lineage: Eukaryota; Metazoa; Chordata; Actinopteri; Salmoniformes; Salmonidae. The record is from RNAcentral.